This is a non-coding RNA of Myodes glareolus (Bank vole), 1363 nucleotides long. Lineage: Eukaryota; Metazoa; Chordata; Mammalia; Rodentia; Cricetidae. The record is from RefSeq and is a predicted model, not a curated record.
UGGGAGGGGAGGCAGCUGCUUUGCGUCUCCGUGACAGCAGUUGUUGGUAUAAGAGAGUCCUUGGAGGCAAGUCUCCUAUCGGAUUGGUUUUUACAGCCCCUGAGCAUGCAACAUUGUAGACAUUCAGUGAGUACCCUUGACUGUGGAGUGGACAUGUCAGGACAUGCCUUGCCUUUCCAAUGCCAGCGUGCAGGAAGAAUUGAAGAACCUUCUGGAAAAUAACCCCAGCCUGAGGGAGCGAAGCUUUGUCUGCCCACCCAAGAGCUGUUUACUGUGAAAAAAAAAUCUCGAGGGUAUUGGAACACAAACAGCACAAUUUUAAGGUCCCUGUGAAAACACUGGGAUGAAAAGGCAGCUCUCUCCUGACUCUCCACAGGCUCCGGAGGACACGGGCGUCCCUGCAGUGCUUUAAGGACACAGCUCAGACUGCUCCGGGGGAGCAGCGAGAGAAAGCAACGUGGAUGAGACCCAAGGCCUGACAACUGAUUAGCGCACACUUGGGGUCCCUCUAGAGACCCCCAGAAGCAAUUUGUGGAGAGAAAGGAAUUACAGUGCCUAGGGUUCCUUUGAGAUCAGGUAGAUAUGGUACAAAGAGCAGGUAGAUCACAUGACUUGGGAUGGGGAGAUAAGAGGAAGGGGAGAAGCACACAAAGGGAUCUCACAGCCCGUUCAGCCUUCGGUUUGGGUUAUUAUGAUUAAUUGGUUCUGCGGGUUUCUUCUGGUCCUGUAAGCACAGUUGCAGUCUUGGAGUCUUAUCUGUGUAGAGUUAAACUGUCUCCCAGGACCUUCCUCCCCUCUUCCAUCCAACUGUCUUUUGAUUCCAUCAUUUUCUUCUCAUGGGUUGCAUCUGUUUCAUCAUCUCUCCAAGGCUGUUCUACUUAAGUCUGUUGAGCCAAGGGGACGCCUGUCACUCGCCCCAGGACCUUCUGUUUAUCAUUGUAAAGACUGGGAUCAGAUGGGAACAAGGGGAAAGAAAACAUGAUCUAUGCCCCUGGAGUUUGGCAACCGGUUGAAGUGGUAGAAAAGGAGAUGAGAGGAACAGGCAAGACAGACCAGCCUGCCUAACCACUCUUCAUUCCUCACGCCGGGUGAUUAUUAAGCAUGGUCCUGCAUUGACAAAAUUUGCUAGCUUUCAGAGUAGGCGAAUCGUGCUUAGUCUUCUUGGCAUUUUUAAAUGCAAAUGAAAAAUCACCCGACUCUCCGAGCCAGAAGCAAAAAAGAUAAAUAACACCAGGAAGCUAGUCGUUGCCCGUCUGUCAUGAAAUUUCAUUAGUUUUGACAUCCCUCACAACAUAAGCAAUGGAUAAAUGCUAACUCUGCUUCCAUGCCUGUUCGUUCCCGUAAGUCACCAGCACAGCACAGG